GAGCCCUUGCUCAAAAUAGAGUCGCAACUGGAUUGGAUUAGUAAGCCCAUUAUGGUUUGAAAAUCCGAUAGACAAAAAUAAG
The submitters of this non-coding RNA (82 nucleotides) gave its source as unclassified sequences. The record is from Rfam.